AUCCAGACUCCUACGGGAGGCAGCAGUGGGGAAUAUUGCACAAUGGGGGAAACCCUGAUGCAGCGACGCCGCGUGAGCGAUGAAGUAUUUCGGUAUGUAAAGCUCUAUCAGCAGGGAAGAAAAUGACGGUACCUGACUAAGAAGCCCCGGCUAACUACGUGCCAGCAGCCGCGGUAAUACGUAGGGGGCAAGCGUUAUCCGGAUUUACUGGGUGUAAAGGGAGCGUAGACGGCUGUGCAAGCCAGAUGUGAAAGCCCGGGGCUCAACCCCGGGACUGCAUUUGGAACUGUGUGGCUGGAGUGUCGGAGAGGCAGGCGGAAUUCCUAGUGUAGUGGUGAAAUGCGUAGAUAUUAGGAGGAACACCAGUGGCGAAGGCGGCCUGCUGGACGAUGACUGACGUUGAGGCUCGAAAGCGUGGGGAGCAAACAGGAUUAGAUACCCGAGUAC
RNAcentral lists this ribosomal RNA (447 nucleotides) under uncultured bacterium. RNAcentral's name for it is "bacterial SSU rRNA". It matches the Rfam family "Bacterial small subunit ribosomal RNA", at positions 329 to 793 of the family's 1533-position model. The record is from RNAcentral.